This 253-nucleotide ribosomal RNA is filed under the name uncultured bacterium. Its description in RNAcentral is "partial 16S ribosomal RNA". It matches the Rfam family "Bacterial small subunit ribosomal RNA", at positions 524 to 776 of the family's 1533-position model. The record is from RNAcentral.
UACGAAGGGUGCAAGCGUUAAUCGGAAUUACUGGGCGUAAAGCGCGCGUAGGUGGUUCGGUAAGUUGGAUGUGAAAUCCCCGGGCUCAACCUGGGAACUGCAUCCAAAACUGCUGAGCUAGAGUACGGUAGAGGGUAGUGGAAUUUCCUGUGUAGCGGUGAAAUGCGUAGAUAUAGGAAGGAACACCAGUGGCGAAGGCGACUACCUGGACUGGUACUGACACUGAGGUGCGAAAGCGUGGGGAGCAAACAGG